GACGAACGCUGGCGGCGUGCUUAACACAUGCAAGUCGAACGGAAAGGCCCUGCUUUUGUGGGGUGCUCGAGUGGCGAACGGGUGAGUAACACGUGAGUAACCUGCCCUUGACUUUGGGAUAACUUCAGGAAACUGGGGCUAAUACCGGAUAGGAGCUCCUGCUGCAUGGGGGGGGUUGGAAAGUUUCGGCGGUUGGGGAUGGCCUCGCGGCUUAUCAGCUUGUUGGUGGGGUAGUGGCUUACCAAGGCUUUGAAGGGUAGCCGGCCUGGGAGGGUGACCGGCCACAUUGGGACUGCGAUACGGCCCAGACUCCUACGGGAGGCAGCAGGGGGGAAUAUUGCACAAUGGGCGGAAGCCUGAUGCAGCAACGCCGCGUGCGGGAUGCCGGCUUUCGGGUUGUAAACCGCUUUCGCCUGUGACGAAGCGGGAGUGACGGUAAUGGGUAAAGAAGCACCGGCUAACUACGUG
Molecule: ribosomal RNA, 468 nt
Filed under: uncultured bacterium
Lineage: Bacteria
Description: partial 16S ribosomal RNA
Rfam family: Bacterial small subunit ribosomal RNA
Source: RNAcentral